This 433-nucleotide ribosomal RNA is filed under the name uncultured bacterium. RNAcentral describes it as "partial 16S ribosomal RNA". It matches the Rfam family "Bacterial small subunit ribosomal RNA", at positions 29 to 507 of the family's 1533-position model. The record is from RNAcentral.
AACGAACGCUGGCGGCAUGCCUAACACAUGCAAGUCGAACGAGACCUUCGGGUCUAGUGGCGCACGGGUGCGUAACGCGUGGGAACCUGCCCUUAGGUUCGGAAUAACUCCCCGAAAGGGGUGCUAAUACCGGAUAAUGUCUUCGGACCAAAGAUUUAUCGCCCCUGGUUGGGCCCGCGUUGGAUUAGCUAGUUGGUAGGGUAAAAGCUUACCAAGGCGACGAUCCAUAGCUGGUUUGAGAGGAUGAUCAGCCACACUGGGACUGAGACACGGCCCAGACUCCUACGGGAGGCAGCAGUGGGGAAUAUUGGACAAUGGGCGAAAGCCUGAUCCAGCAAUGCCGCGUGAGUAAUGAAGGCCUUAGGGUUGUAAAGCUCUUUUAACCGGGAUGAUAAUGACAGUACCGGGAGAAUAAGCUCCGGCUAACUCCGUG